This is a long non-coding RNA of Nematostella vectensis (starlet sea anemone), 194 nucleotides long. RefSeq lists it as uncharacterized. The record is from RefSeq and is a predicted model, not a curated record. The transcript is spliced from 3 exons. Lineage: Eukaryota; Metazoa; Cnidaria; Anthozoa; Actiniaria; Edwardsiidae.
GCGGUCUCAUAUUUAAUCCCUUGUCACUGUGCUUAUACGAGCAGAAAUUGAUGGUUGCUUGUAUUUUUCUUAAAAAUACAGAUCUAUUUCUGAGACAAGCAAACUCAAGGGAGAGCUUUUGAAUUAACAGGAGGAACGAGGAGAGUUCUACAAGGCCGAUGAGAAGUAUGCAUUACUCAUCUAAAUUAUACCAG